GAGGUUAAGCGACUAAGCGUACACGGUGGAUGCCCUGGCAGUCAGAGGCGAUGAAGGGCGUGCUAAUCUGCGAUAAGCGCCGGUAAGGUGAUAUGAACCGUUAUAACCGGCGAUACCCGAAUGGGGAAACCCAGUGUGACUCGUCACACUAUCAUUAACUGAAUCCAUAGGUUAAUGAGGCGAACCGGGGGAACUGAAACAUCUAAGUACCCCGAGGAAAAGAAAUCAACCGAGAUUCCCCCAGUAGCGGCGAGCGAACGGGGAGGAGCCCAGAGCCUGAAUCAGCAUGUGUGUUAGUGGAAGCGUCUGGAAAGGCGCGCGAUACAGGGUGACAGCCCCGUACACAAAAGCGCAUGUGCUGUGAGCUCGAUGAGUAGGGCGGGACACGUGGUAUCCUGUCUGAAUAUGGGGGGACCAUCCUCCAAGGCUAAAUACUCCUGACUGACCGAUAGUGAACCAGUACCGUGAGGGAAAGGCGAAAAGAACCCCGGCGAGGGGAGUGAAAAAGAACCUGAAACCGUGUACGUACAAGCAGUGGGAGCCCCAC
This 547-nucleotide ribosomal RNA is filed under the name Salmonella enterica subsp. enterica serovar Enteritidis. RNAcentral's name for it is "partial 23S ribosomal RNA". It matches the Rfam family "Bacterial large subunit ribosomal RNA", at positions 1 to 585 of the family's 2925-position model. The record is from RNAcentral. Lineage: Bacteria; Pseudomonadati; Pseudomonadota; Gammaproteobacteria; Enterobacterales; Enterobacteriaceae.